GGUUGUGGCUCAGUGGUAAAGUGCUUGCUUAGCACACGUGAGGCACUGGGUUCAAACCUCAGCACCA
This 67-nucleotide transfer RNA is filed under the name Marmota monax (woodchuck). RNAcentral describes it as "tRNA.Ala". Lineage: Eukaryota; Metazoa; Chordata; Mammalia; Rodentia; Sciuridae. The record is from RNAcentral.